This 253-nucleotide ribosomal RNA is filed under the name uncultured bacterium. Its description in RNAcentral is "partial 16S ribosomal RNA". It matches the Rfam family "Bacterial small subunit ribosomal RNA", at positions 524 to 776 of the family's 1533-position model. The record is from RNAcentral.
UACGGAGGAGGCAAGCGUUAUCCGGAAUUAUUGGGCGUAAAGCGUCCGUAGGUGGUUGGCCAAGUCUGCUGUCAAAGGGUGGGGCUUAACCUCAUAAAGGCAGUGGAACCUGGCGAGCUAGAGUGCGGUAGGGGGAGGGGGAAUUCCCAGUGUAGCGGUGAAAUGCGUAGAGAUUGGGAAGAACAUCGGUGGCGAAAGCGGCCUGCUGGGCCUGCACUGACACUGAGGGACGAAAGCUAGGGGAGCGAAAGGG